Drosophila navojoa is the source of this 905-nucleotide long non-coding RNA. NCBI's taxonomy places the organism in Eukaryota, Metazoa, Arthropoda, Insecta, Diptera, Drosophilidae. The record is from RefSeq and is a predicted model, not a curated record.
CAAACAAACAAAAAUAUAUGCCGUUAUUAUAUAAAUAUGUAUUUUGAUAACUAAAAUAGUUUUUUGUGUGUUUACUUUGCUUCAAGCGUCGUGUAUAUCUUAUGUUAAAAUCAUCGUUUUGUUUCUCUCUCAUACAUAUAGGUAUGUAUAGAGACCCUAUAUAUCUACAUGCAAUACAAUACAUACUACAUACAUACAUACUACAUACAUUUAUCAAAAGCCAGCCGCUGGUUAUGAAGUAAGUGGAAAAUGCAUUUAAACAAAGCUAAAUACAACAAAAAAACAAUUCGACAACGCACAAUUGCCAAAAUGCACACACACAAACACACACACACACAUGUACACUUAGAAACAGAUCAACACACACACACACACAGAAACAAACUACUGUUAAGGGCCAAAGUUAGAUGCAGAAAAAAAGAAAACAAUUUUACACAUAAAUUCAGCAACAAUUUGAAAAUAAAUAAAAAAUAAAAACUAAAUCAGCAUUCUAAAAUGGUAUGAACUGAAGUAUGAAAAGGGAUAAUGAAAACAAAUGAAAAAAUGUAUAAAAAAAAAAAGAAAAAUAAAAAAAAAAUUGCAAGAAUGAAUGAAGUUGAGAACGCGACAUGAAAGAGAAGAGAAAACCCAUUGUGAUACAGUUACAAAAUAAUAACAAAACGAGGAAUGUGUAGAAAUACGUAGAUACAUACGUUAAAUGUUAACAUUGCUCGUAACACAAUAUAACAUAAGUACAUACAUACAUAUGUAUGCAUGUGUGAACACAGACACACACAUAUACAUAUAUAUAUAUAUAUAUAUUUGUAUCGGCAAUGACAUUUGACGAUGACACUUGACGACGAUAAUCGAUAUACAACAAGAGUUAAUUAUUAUUGUCAUGAUUGUAUUUCGCCAACAACAAAAAG